GUGGCGCAGUGGUAGCGCAGAAGACUCUUAAUCUUUUGGUCGUGGGUUCGAAUCCCACCGGG
RNAcentral lists this transfer RNA (62 nucleotides) under bovine gut metagenome. It matches the Rfam family "tRNA", at positions 7 to 64 of the family's 71-position model. From Rfam's summary of the family: Transfer RNA (tRNA) molecules are approximately 80 nucleotides in length. Their secondary structure includes four short double-helical elements and three loops (D, anti-codon, and T loops). The record is from RNAcentral.